GACGAACGCUGGCGGCGUGCUUAACACAUGCAAGUCGAACGGAAAGGCCCUGCUCUUGUUGGGUGCUCGAUUGGCGAACGCGUGAGUAACACGUGAGUAACCUGCCCCUGACUUUGGGAUAACUUCAGGAAACUGCGGCGAAUACCGGAUAGGAGCUCUUGCUGCAUGGUGGGGGUUGGAAAGUUUCGGCGGUUGGGGAUGGUCUCGCAGCUUAUCAGCUUGUUAGUGGGGUAGUGGCUUACCAAGGCUUUGACGGGUAGCCGGCCUGAGAGGGUGACCGGCCACAAUGGGACUAAGAUACGGACCAGAAUGCUACGGGAGGCAGCAGUGGGGAACAUUGCAGAAUAGGGGGGAGCCUGAUGCGACAACGCCGGGUGCGGGAUACCGGCCUUCGAGUUGUAAACCAAUUUCGCCGGUGACGAAGCCGGCGUGACGGUAAUGGAUAAAGAAGCACCGGCUAACUACGUG
Molecule: ribosomal RNA, 468 nt
Filed under: uncultured bacterium
Lineage: Bacteria
Description: partial 16S ribosomal RNA
Rfam family: Bacterial small subunit ribosomal RNA
Source: RNAcentral